RNAcentral lists this transfer RNA (76 nucleotides) under Clostridia bacterium. Its description in RNAcentral is "tRNA-Val". It matches the Rfam family "tRNA". From Rfam's summary of the family: Transfer RNA (tRNA) molecules are approximately 80 nucleotides in length. Their secondary structure includes four short double-helical elements and three loops (D, anti-codon, and T loops). Further hydrogen bonds mediate the characteristic L-shaped molecular structure. tRNAs have two regions of fundamental functional importance: the anti-codon, which is responsible for specific mRNA codon recognition, and the 3' end, to which the tRNAs corresponding amino acid is attached (by aminoacyl-tRNA synthetases). tRNAs cope with the degeneracy of the genetic code in two manners: having more than one tRNA (with a specific anti-codon) for a particular amino acid; and 'wobble' base-pairing, i.e. permitting non-standard base-pairing at the 3rd anti-codon position. Lineage: Bacteria; Bacillati; Bacillota; Clostridia. The record is from RNAcentral.
GGGGAGUUAGCUCAGUUGGGAGAGCAUCUGCCUUACAAGCAGAGGGUCACAGGUUCGAGCCCUGUACUCCCCACCA